UCCCUGGUGGUCCAGUGGCUAAGACUCUGUGCUGCCAAUGCAGGGGGCCCGGGGUUCAAUCCCUGGUCAGGGAA
This is a non-coding RNA of Dama dama (fallow deer), 74 nucleotides long. NCBI's taxonomy places the organism in Eukaryota, Metazoa, Chordata, Mammalia, Artiodactyla, Cervidae. The record is from the annotation of a RefSeq genome assembly.